RNAcentral lists this long non-coding RNA (854 nucleotides) under Mustela putorius furo (domestic ferret). RNAcentral's name for it is "lncRNA (ENSMPUG00000030551.1)". The record is from RNAcentral. Lineage: Eukaryota; Metazoa; Chordata; Mammalia; Carnivora; Mustelidae.
ACCAGACAUGAUGCUUCCUGGAGGGAGGCGGUCUGCAGAGCUAUCUCCGCAGAAGGCAAGAAAUGAAAGUUCUCAAAUCGACUUGCCCGAGAAAGCCAGCCAGAGCAGGGAGGCUCAUUCCUAAAUGACCUUCAGCAGCCGAUCCACCUUAGACAGGACACGUGGCCCAGGGAAGGCUCUGGCGUUCAGCGUCUGGGUUCCUCUGACCUGCUCUGCCUUUUCCACGAUGCACUUGAACUAUGAAGAAUGGAGGCUGCAGGUGUGGAAGUCCGAGGUUAGCCCUUUGCAUAUGCUGUCUCAUGGAGCUCAGGGUUUACCCUCUCAGGGUUUACCCUCUGAAUGUCCUUCUCGCCAUACUGCCGACGAGGGCUUGAAGCUCAGAAAAGGUGCCUCCUUUGUGAAGCAAGAGAUGGGGAUGAGAUGUUGACAAGUGGGGGCAAAUGACUGCCCUUGAAAAUGGCAACAAACCCUUGGAUCCCAUUGUGAGAACCAGCACUUGGCAUCUUGAAGUCAUGAGUCAAAACUGGUCAUGUCCCCACCAUCUCUGGGGUGUUUCAGGCCCCAGAAAUCACAUUUCAGCCCUUCCCAAGGCAAACCUCAACCUCUGUGUUCUGCUUCCUGCCCGACAGCGGAUGCCCACCGCUAACAACUUCCUACCACUCCAGAAUAAAGGUUCUUAUCUGUGAUCUCCUGUCCCUCCUGCUGCUCCCCCGCUGACCCCGGCGCCUCCUUUUCUGGCCCUGCGCGAUGUGGCGUGCCCACCCCUCCCCCUCAGGACUCAUAAGUAAUCAACUCUUCUCCCAAGGCAGUUGUCUGCAUGUCUGUCAUCUUACCAUACUUGAUUAGAACAAAUC